GAUGAAGAACGCAGCGAAAUGCGAUACGUAAUGUGAAUUGCAGAAUUCAGUGAAUCAUCGAAUCUUUGAACGCAUAUUGCGCUCUCUGGUAUUCCGGAGAGCAUGCUUGUUUGAGUAUCAGUAAACACCUCAACUUCCAUAUCUUUUUUGAAAUGGGAGUUGGACUUGAGUGAUCCCAACGCUUUUCCUCACCGAAAAGUGGCGGGUUACUUGAAAUGCAGGUGCAGCUGGACUUUUCUCUGAGCUAUAAGCAUAUCUAUUUAGUCUGCCUAAAAACAGAUUAUUACCUUUGCUGCAGCUAACAUAAAGGAGAUUAGUUCUUGUGCUGACUGAUGCAGGAUUCACAAAGACAGGCUUCGGCCGACUUUGUAAACUCGAUCUCAAAUCAAGUAAGACUACCCGCUGAACUUAAGCAUAUCAAAAGCGGAGGA
This 431-nucleotide unclassified non-coding RNA is filed under the name soil metagenome. RNAcentral's name for it is "partial contains 5.8S ribosomal RNA, internal transcribed spacer 2, and large subunit ribosomal RNA". The stretch from base 1 to 120 matches the Rfam family "5.8S ribosomal RNA", at positions 35 to 154 of the family's 154-position model. The record is from RNAcentral.